CCGGGAAUCGAACCCGGGACCCCUAUAUCACUAGUCAGGUGCUCUACCUACUGAGCUAUCCAGGCCGAUAUCCACGCCCCUAACCAUUACACGUGCAAUAAAAUUGCAUGACGCAACAGAAAAGUAAGGACAAUUUUCAUUGGUUAGAAAUAACGAAAGUAGCCGGAGCGGUCGUAAUGCACACAUUGACACAACUUCGCAAGCAUGAAAUUGGCGAAUUCAACCUAAAGUCAAAAUUAUAGGUACGCAUGAUCGAUGUAACUUCCUUGAUGGUGUGUUGGCUGUUUGCCCAUGUGUAUUUCGGGGUAUAGGAGUAGCCUCCCCUUUUAAAGAUCCAAAAUGGUGAUUUUACAGUGCGGCAUGCAGUCUGUCAUCAACGAAGAGUUUUGACACCUGUAAUACCCAUAUUUCUACCAUUCACCUCUGUAACCUUUGUUGAGUUCAUCAGACUGUCCAAGACAGGAAGUUGAGGAAUAAAGUUGACAGGACAUCCUGAACUGUCCUCGCUACCAGCUUAUGAGGGAACCAGCUGCAGUGGACAAAGUACGUUACAUCAUAGAAUAAUAGCAUUGAAUUGGAUUCUAACCAGAGCCAUGUGAACCUGGUCCACCUGUACCUCUCAUUGAAGACCUGUUAACAUCACCAGAGUAUGUUCAUUCUGAUACCCCUAUGGUAUGGUUACAGCAUGCAUUAUCCCUGAAUCCAUUAAAAGAGCUGCAUUGGCAACGAAACAACCCAAUGUGGUCGAUUGUAAGGAAAUAUAGCAUAUCAGCUUCCAACUUUGGUCAGUUCUCAGUUCUAAGCAAAGGCGAUUGACAUUGUCACUGAAGAAACAGCUGAUGUCGGCUUACAAUCUGGAGUCCAUCAAGGCUGUUGCAUGGGGUAUCACUCAUGAAGAUGAUGCUUUGAGAAAGUAUGAAAAGGACUUAGAUGCAGCUGUAGAGCAGUCAGGUAUACAGCACAAAAUAAUAUUCCUUCAAUCUCUGACAUGUUAACAUUCAUUGUGUCAAAACAAAUAACAGGACUUA
Molecule: long non-coding RNA, 1028 nt
Organism: Saccostrea cuccullata (small rock oyster)
Lineage: Eukaryota; Metazoa; Mollusca; Bivalvia; Ostreida; Ostreidae
Exons: 6
Source: RefSeq, a predicted model, not a curated record